CACGUGGGUAAUCUGCCCUGCACUUCGGGAUAAGCCUGGGAAACUGGGUCUAAUACCGGAUAUGAACUCCUGCCGCAUGGUGGGGGUUGGAAAGUUUUUCGGUGCAGGAUGAGCCCGCGGCCUAUCAGCUUGUUGGUGGGGUAAUGGCCUACCAAGGCGACGACGGGUAGCCGGCCUGAGAGGGUGAUCGGCCACACUGGGACUGAGACACGGCCCAGACUCCUACGGGAGGCAGCAGUGGGGAAUAUUGCACAAUGGGCGAAAGCCUGAUGCAGCGACGCCGCGUGGGGGAUGACGGUCUUCGGAUUGUAAACCCCUUUCAGUAGGGACGAAGCGCAAGUGACGGUACCUGCAGAAGAAGCACCGGCUAACUACGUGCCAGCAGCCGCGGUAAUACGUAGGGUGCGAGCGUUGUCCGGAAUUACUGGGCGUAAAGAGCUCGUAGGCGGUUUGUCACGUCGUCUGUGAAAUCCCUCGGCUUAACCGGGGGCGUGCAGGCGAUACGGGCAGACUUGAGUACUACAGGGGAGACUGGAAUUCCUGGUGUAGCGGUGAAAUGCGCAGAUAUCAGGAGGAACACCGGUGGCGAAGGCGGGUCUCUGGGUAGUAACUGACGCUGAGGAGCGAAAGCAUGGGUAGCGAACAGGAUUAGAUACCCUGGUAGUCCAUGCCGUAAACGGUGGGCGCUAGGUGUGGGG
Molecule: ribosomal RNA, 698 nt
Filed under: Dietzia maris
Lineage: Bacteria; Bacillati; Actinomycetota; Actinomycetes; Mycobacteriales; Dietziaceae
Description: bacterial SSU rRNA
Rfam family: Bacterial small subunit ribosomal RNA
Source: RNAcentral